Molecule: ribosomal RNA, 402 nt
Filed under: uncultured bacterium
Lineage: Bacteria
Description: bacterial SSU rRNA
Rfam family: Bacterial small subunit ribosomal RNA
Source: RNAcentral
UGGGGAAUAUUGGACAAUGGGGGAAACCCUGAUCCAGCGACGUCGCGUGGGUGAUGAAGAUCUUAGGAUUGUAAAGCCCUUUUAUAAAAGAAGAUAAUGACUGUAUUUUAUGAAUAAGCCCCGGCUAACUUCGUGCCAGCAGCCGCGGUAAUACGAAGGGGGCAAGCGUUAUUCGGAAUGACUGGGCGUAAAGGGCGCGUAGGUGGAUUUGUGCGUUUGAUGUGAAAGUCCUGGGCUUAACCUAGGGAUUGCAUUAAAUACGGCAAGUCUAGAGCGUGAGAGGGGAAAAUGGAAUUGCGGGUGUAGAGGUGAAAUUCGUAGAUAUCCGCAGGAACACCAAUGGCGAAGGCAGUUUUCUGGCUCAUUGCUGACACUGAGGCGCGAAAGCGUGGGGAGCAAACA